This 104-nucleotide small nuclear RNA is filed under the name Myotis brandtii (Brandt's bat). The record is from RNAcentral. Lineage: Eukaryota; Metazoa; Chordata; Mammalia; Chiroptera; Vespertilionidae.
GUGCUCACUUCAGCAGCACAUAUAAUAAAAUUGGAACGGUACAGACAUUAGCACGGCCCCUGUGCAAGGGUGACAUGCAAGUUCAUGAGGCGUUCCAUAUUUUU